Ananas comosus (pineapple) is the source of this 2290-nucleotide RNA transcript. It is a transcript of the gene named floral homeotic protein APETALA 2-like, with no coding region annotated. The transcript has 7 exons. NCBI's taxonomy places the organism in Eukaryota, Viridiplantae, Streptophyta, Magnoliopsida, Poales, Bromeliaceae. The record is from RefSeq and is a predicted model, not a curated record.
GGGUGGGGCUUACGUGCCCUUUGUGCAAGCGGUCCAACGAGGUGGACAGCUUCUCUUCGGACAUUAAUGCGGGCCAUCAAUGCGAAACUUACUCCGUUAGAGUUUUUGCCGUUUUGAUUUUUCAUGCUGUUUUAGUUCGCCCUCUCUUUCUCCGUCGUCGACACGGCCAGCCGUCGUUACUCCUGUGUUUGCCAGGACGAUUGCGUCGGGAGGCUAUCGCCGUCUCCGUCGCGGAUAGUUACAUGAGGUGGCGGGCCUAGGCGACGACGUGGCCUCCAGCAACUCGCAGGUCGGGCGUAAGAUGCGCGUGAUGGUGUAGAUAGCUGUGAGGAUUUGGGUAGAUUUGAUAGAGAAAUUUUUUUCUGCUUUUAAACUGAUGAUGAUCUCCUCCAUACUUAUGCUUAUAUAUUGAAAUGAAUGAAAUGAUUUGUCCUCCAGCAACUCACCACCGGGGUGGUGUGGAAUACGCCCGCUGGUGAAGAUGGCUGUGGAUAUUUGGCCGGAUUUGACAGGGUGUAUGUUCUCGAUUUGACCCUGAGAUUUAUCCUGUUUUUGACCUCUUUUUCCCCCCUUAAACUGAUCUCCUCCCUCUUAUUGCAAUUCAUGAUUUUUGCUAUAAAUAGCACCUCUGCUCUUGCUCUCCUUCUAACUUUUUUGCUUCUUUGCUCUUCUGUUUGGUUCCGUGUUGCCUCCGCUGCCUCGCCGCCGCCGACUCUGUCUUUGUGGCAGCGAUGACGCAUCACCACCACCAGAUAGCGGAGCCGCCACAGCCCACGAAGAAGAGUUGGCGGGGACCCCAGCCGCGGAGCUCCAAAUACCGCGGCCUUUUAUCACAGAACUGGCCGGUAGGAAUCACAUGAUUGUGGAAAGCAAGUCCAUUUGGGUCUGUUGUGGAUUUGACACUGCAUAUGCUGCAGCAAGGGCAUAUGAUUGCGCAGCAAUCACGUUUCGUGGGGUCGACGCAGACAUAAAUUUCAAUGCAAAAGAUUAUGAGGAGGAUCUUAAAAAGAUGAGCAAUCUCACAACGGAGAAGUUUGUUCAGCCACUUCGACGACAGAGCACUGGAUCGUCGAGAGGAAGCUGGAAGUUUCGCGGGGUUACCUUGCACAAAUGUGGGAAAUGAGAGGCUAUAAUUGGCCAACUAUUUGAGAAAAAGUAAAAUAUUCCAACCAAUUUUUUUUUUCUUUUUUUCUUUGGUUUUUAAUCAAUUUCUUUCAAUGUAUGUGAAUGUUUUCUUAUAGGCUACAUGCUGGUUUUGAGCAGAUACAUGUAUCUUGGCCUCUAUGGCACUGAAGUAGAAGCUACUAAGUACCUUCAUUUCUUCAUCAAUCACUUUCAAUUUUGCUCUAAAUUUUAUAGAUUUGGCCAUUUCAUUUUCGGGGCAUAUGAUAUAGCUGCAAUUAAUUGCAACGGGCGCGAUGCGAUCACCAACUUCAAUCGUUCCAUCUACGCAAGCGAUCUCCACCUUUCCUGUGAGUUUCUAAUGCCUACUCAUUUCCUUAGAUGUUUUAACUUAUUUUUCUUCUCUUACAAAGUUUGUUGUAGUACAAUUUGUUCGCAUUAAACAUUUGCGGCAGUUGAUCACUUUGAGCAUAAUCUUGAUCCAAGUCUGAGUUGCUCAAGCUCUAAGCGGAGCGAGCAUGAAUGGGUGAACGAAGCGAGCUCAAAUGAAACGGAUCAACGAGUCCCGACGACAUUCAAACUAGAGUUGAAUCGAAGAAUCAGAGCAAAGAUCGAUAACAAGUUCAAUUUGCCCGGAGAAAACGAACUGCGAAGUAAUUGUUAUCCAAUCCAUUUGCACUCCAGUGGCACUUUCAACUACCCGCAGCUUCAAAUCAUCGACAAAGUUCAGUCCCUCCAGUUUUCGCCAAGUGGAUAGCCUUUGAAUUUGAAUUAAAUUUAAAGUAGAAUCUAUAUUUGGGUUUAAUUUCAACAUUGUUGCCUAAUUCUUUGUGGUUUUAAUUUGAAAAGCUGCUAUAUGAGUUUUUACGUGUCAUAUGUAUUUUGGCUUCCUUUUUUUUUGGUUUUUAACAGGUUCUUCUAGAGGAGGAAGUUGAAGAAGCACACAAGCUCUCUACUAUAAUAAAGGAUCUUGAGUUGCAACUGAGUAAAGAGCAAGAAGGAUAUAAAAAAGUCUGAUUUUUAUCAUUAGUAUUCAAUUUAGAACCCUGAGCAAAUCAUUUUCUGCUUGAGUGGCAUUAAAAAUAUGACAAAACAUGUAGAGUGCUUCAAGUCAAAAAGAUAAUUGUAGUAACUUUGCAAUUCAUUUAUUAAUUAUUUACUUUGUAUU